Molecule: unclassified non-coding RNA, 1014 nt
Filed under: Hevea brasiliensis (rubber tree)
Lineage: Eukaryota; Viridiplantae; Streptophyta; Magnoliopsida; Malpighiales; Euphorbiaceae
Source: RNAcentral
GUACUCUCUGCAUUUAUAAAUCUUUAAUUUGCAUUAUACAUUUCUAACUCCAUUUUACAUAACUAGACUUAAUAGUAAUAUGGACCCAUGGAAAGACCUAACCGGAAAAGUAGUGAUGGUGACCGGAGCAUCAUCGGGGAUCGGGCUAGAGUUCUGUAUCGAUUUAGCCAAAGCCGGUUGCAGAAUCAUCGCUGCUGCUCGUCGUGUUGACAAACUGAAAUCUCUCUGCGAUCAAAUUAACAGUAAUUCAGAGGAAACCCCUCGUGCAAUCGCCAUCGAACUUGAUGUUGCUGCUGAUAGUGCUACAAUUGAAUCCGCUGUAAAAAUAGCUUGGGAGGCCUUUGGACGUAUCGAUGCCUUGGUUAACAAUGCAGGCGUAAGAGGGAGCGUGAGCUCUUCAGUGGAAUUGACAGAGGAGGAAUGGAACAAUACAUAUAACACGAAUCUACGAGGGGCAUGGAUGGUUUCGAAAUAUGUAUGUAAGCGUAUGAUCGAUGCUAAACAGGGCGGAGGAUCUGUUAUUAACAUCACUUCGAUGGCGGGUUUAAAUCGUAUAGCAGUGCCAGGAACUACUGCUUACGCUACUUCAAAGAUGGCUCUAGACAUGGUUACUAAGAUAAUGGCGAUUGAAUUGGGCGGAGAGAAUAUCAGAUUGAACUCGAUAUCGCCAGGAGUUUUCAAAUCAGAGAUAACAGAGAGCCUAGUUGAACAGAAAUGGUUUCACAAAUUUCUUUAUAAAACUCUUCCUACUAGAUAUCUUGGAACGACAGAUCCAGGUUUAACGUCUCUCAUUCGAUACUUAAUUCAUGAUUCUUCUGAGUAUGUAACGGGUAAUGUUUUCAUCGUCGAUGGUGGAGCUAGCUUACCAGGUGUCCCCAUUUUCUCAUCACUCUAGCUCAAAUGGACAUGUAAAAGAAAAUAAUACAAUACUUUCAAUUAUCGAAGCAAGUGAAAAAUGUAUUGUAAUACUUGGUGUGAUUUAGUAUGUUGUUACCUUCCACUAGUGUGUUUGCG